CGGGGUGUGGCGCAGCUUGGUAGCGUAUCUGCUGUGGGAGCAGAGGGCCGCUGGUUCAAAUCCAGUCACCCCGACCA
This 77-nucleotide transfer RNA is filed under the name Eubacteriales Family XIII. Incertae Sedis bacterium. RNAcentral describes it as "tRNA-Pro". It matches the Rfam family "tRNA". From Rfam's summary of the family: Transfer RNA (tRNA) molecules are approximately 80 nucleotides in length. The record is from RNAcentral. Lineage: Bacteria; Bacillati; Bacillota; Clostridia; Peptostreptococcales; Anaerovoracaceae.